RNAcentral lists this ribosomal RNA (680 nucleotides) under uncultured Enterobacter sp. RNAcentral describes it as "bacterial SSU rRNA". It matches the Rfam family "Bacterial small subunit ribosomal RNA", at positions 83 to 759 of the family's 1533-position model. The record is from RNAcentral. Lineage: Bacteria; Pseudomonadati; Pseudomonadota; Gammaproteobacteria; Enterobacterales; Enterobacteriaceae.
CUCGGGUGACGAGUGGCGGACGGGUGAGUAAUGUCUGGGAAACUGCCUGAUGGAGGGGGAUAACUACUGGAAACGGUAGCUAAUACCGCAUAACGUCGCAAGACCAAAGAGGGGGACCUUCGGGCCUCUUGCCAUCAGAUGUGCCCAGAUGGGAUUAGCUAGUAGGUGGGGUAACGGCUCACCUAGGCGACGAUCCCUAGCUGGUCUGAGAGGAUGACCAGCCACACUGGAACUGAGACACGGUCCAGACUCCUACGGGAGGCAGCAGUGGGGAAUAUUGCACAAUGGGCGCAAGCCUGAUGCAGCCAUGCCGCGUGUAUGAAGAAGGCCUUCGGGUUGUAAAGUACUUUCAGCGGGGAGGAAGGCGAUAAGGUUAAUAACCUUGUCGAUUGACGUUACCCGCAGAAGAAGCACCGGCUAACUCCGUGCCAGCAGCCGCGGUAAUACGGAGGGUGCAAGCGUUAAUCGGAAUUACUGGGCGUAAAGCGCACGCAGGCGGUCUGUCAAGUCGGAUGUGAAAUCCCCGGGCUCAACCUGGGAACUGCAUUCGAAACUGGCAGGCUAGAGUCUUGUAGAGGGGGGUAGAAUUCCAGGUGUAGCGGUGAAAUGCGUAGAGAUCUGGAGGAAUACCGGUGGCGAAGGCGGCCCCCUGGACAAAGACUGACGCUCAGGUGCGAAAG